AGAGUUUGAUCAUGGCUCAGAGCGAACGCUGGCGGCGUACUUAACACAUGCAAGUCGAACGGGGAUCGUCGGGUUAGCAAUAAUUCGGCGGUCCUAGUGGCGUACGGGUGAGUAACACGUGGGCAACCUGCCCUAGAGUUCGGGAUACCCUCUCGAAAGGGAGGCUAAUACCGGAUACGUUCCCCGGGUCGCAGGAUCAGGGGAGGAAAGGUAGCGCAAGCUGCCGCUCUUGGAGGGGCUCGCGGCCUAUCAGCUAGUUGGUGAGGUAACGGCUCACCAAGGCUAUGACGGGUAGCUGGUCUGAGAGGACGACCAGCCACACGGGAACUGAGACACGGUCCCGACUCCUACGGGAGGCAGCAGUGGGGAAUUUUCCGCAAUGGGCGAAAGCCUGACGGAGUGACGCCGCGUGGGGGACGAAGGCCUUCGGGUUGUAAACCCCUGUCAGAGGGAAAGAAGGGUGUCGGCGUGAAUAGCGUCGGCAUCUGACGGUACCUUCAGAGGAAGCCCCGGCCAACUCUGUGCCAGCAGCCGCGGUAAGACAGAGGGGGCAAGCGUUGCUCGGAAUCACUGGGCGUAAAGGGCGUGUAGGCGGGACGGCAAGUCGGUCGUGAAAUCCUUCGGCUCAACCGAAGAACGUCGGCCGAUACUGCCAUUCUUGAGGGAUGCAGAGGAGACUGGAAUUCCCGGUGUAGCGGUGAAAUGUGUAGAGAUCGGGAGGAACACCGGUGGCGAAGGCGGGUCUCUGGGCAUCUCCUGACGCUGAGGCGCGAAAGCGUGGGGAGCAAACGGGAUUAGAUACCCCGGUAGUCCACGCUGUAAACGAU
RNAcentral lists this ribosomal RNA (827 nucleotides) under uncultured bacterium. RNAcentral's name for it is "bacterial SSU rRNA". It matches the Rfam family "Bacterial small subunit ribosomal RNA", at positions 8 to 810 of the family's 1533-position model. The record is from RNAcentral.